Long non-coding RNA from Poecilia latipinna (sailfin molly), 898 nucleotides. RefSeq lists it as uncharacterized. The transcript is spliced from 3 exons. The record is from RefSeq and is a predicted model, not a curated record. NCBI's taxonomy places the organism in Eukaryota, Metazoa, Chordata, Actinopteri, Cyprinodontiformes, Poeciliidae.
ACGCGCAGCGGCCACAUCCACGGCAGACAAAUCCGUGCUCAGUGACGUGUCCUGUAUUAGCCUUUUUUGUAAUGCAUGUUCAACCCUUUUCCAUCAGAGACUAAUUUGAAUUGCUGCAAACCUCCCUUGGGUGCUUCUUCUUAUUUCUAUCAUUUCUUGCUGCAAUCCCUUUAAAAACAUUUUAUUUAUUUAUUUAUUUAUUUAUUGCCUCGAUUAUUUAUCCUCUCAACAGUCCCCCCCCCCCCCUUGCCUUCUUCUUCCCCCCUCAGUCUCCAUCUCUUGGGGAGUGCAAGGACGCUGUGAAUUUUUAUAUAUAUAUAUAUAGAGAGAGAUAUAUAUAAAAAGGAACUGAAGCAACAGACAGGAGGUGCGGUGACCAUGGGUUUUCCGCCGCUAAUUUUCUGCUAACGGAGGACGGACAGAGUGGGGUAGCUGUCCACAACCCCCAUAAACUUCACUUCCUCCAGGAAAGAAAGAAUAAAGGAAAAAAAAGACAUUGGGGUAAAAGUGAGAGAGGCACAAGAGGAAAAACAAGCGCAAGAAGGAGCAAGGGGAGCAGGUGAAAACAGUCGAUGGAUGCUGUCCGGAUCGAGGGGGCAGCAAGUUCUUCACUGACAAGGAGAAAAAAGAUUUCAAAAUUGAGUCGAAGGAUAGAAACUCGCCGUCAGGCAUGGUGUGUGAGAAGGGGAUCCAGAUCCUCCUCACCACCGUGGGGGCAUUCGCUGCCUUCGGCCUGAUGACGGUGGCCAUAGGGACGGACUACUGGCUGUAUUCCCGUGCCCUCAUCUGCAACAGCACAGCCAACAUCACGCAGGAUGAUCCCCACAACAAGGACAAGAAGGACCCUGGGGCACUCACCCAUUCGGGGCUGUGGAGAAUAUGCUGCCUGGAAGGUAUG